GGUCCUCACUAAGGCAGCUCUGUUGAGAGUUGCCAUGGUGGGGGGGGUUGACCCUGCGGGGGUCCCCAGGCCGUCAACUUCCGGUGCCAGACGUUGGUACGUCAGGGUCGAGCACAAUGCGCUGCCGCCCGCUGCCGAUAUUCUGGGGACGA
RNAcentral lists this non-coding RNA (152 nucleotides) under unclassified sequences. Its description in RNAcentral is "cold-seep-1 RNA". It matches the Rfam family "cold-seep-1 RNA". From Rfam's summary of the family: Environmental, Norwegian cold seep. Environment (Cold seep) The record is from Rfam by way of RNAcentral.